UUGAACGCUGGCGGCAUGCCUAACACAUGCAAGUCGAACGGGUUGUACUUCGGUACAGCUAGUGGCGGACGGGUGAGUAACACAUAGGAAUCUGCCCGAGAGUGGGGGAUAACCCAGGGAAACUUGGAUUAAUACCGCAUGAUCUCUACGGAGCAAAGCUGGGGACCUUCGGGCCUGGCGCUUUUGGAGGAGCCUAUGUCUGAUUAGCUUGUUGGUGAGGUAACGGCUCACCAAGGCGACGAUCAGUAACUGGUCUGAGAGGACGACCAGUCACACCGGAACUGAGACACGGUCCGGACUCCUACGGGAGGCAGCAGUGGGGAAUAUUGGACAAUGGGCGAAAGCCUGAUCCAGCAAUGCCGCGUGUGUGAAGAAGGCCUUCGGGUUGUAAAGCACUUUAGGAUGGAAAGAAAAAACUUCAGUUAAUAGCUGAAGUCUUGACGGUACCAUCAGAAUAAGCACCGGCUAACUCUGU
This 475-nucleotide ribosomal RNA is filed under the name uncultured bacterium. RNAcentral's name for it is "bacterial SSU rRNA". It matches the Rfam family "Bacterial small subunit ribosomal RNA", at positions 30 to 506 of the family's 1533-position model. The record is from RNAcentral.